Molecule: long non-coding RNA, 590 nt
Filed under: Monodelphis domestica (gray short-tailed opossum)
Lineage: Eukaryota; Metazoa; Chordata; Mammalia; Didelphimorphia; Didelphidae
Description: lncRNA (ENSMODG00000039959.1)
Source: RNAcentral
GAUCUCUAUUCCUGGAUUUUUCCCAACUGUGUGCUCUACCUGGAUUCCUCUGAUCUUGUCAUCAAACAAAAGGAUUUAAGGGGAGCAGCUUGAACUUAAGGCUGAUCUUUAGGACGUUAGCCUGAAGAGACAGGCCCAACCAGCUCUGAAAUUGAGAUGCAAGUUCAUCUUCUGCAGAGUCCCUGAAAAUAUCUCCAGGACAACUAUAGGAACUGGCAGGAUAGCAGGAAUGAUGUAUCCCUCAUGGUGUCAAUCCAGUCAGCAGAUUCUUUAUCAUCCUCACCAGGAAAACAGGGUCUCAAGUCCAGUCAGCACUCCAAGGAAUGAAGAAUUCUCUUCUCACAGGAAGUAACAGCUCCUUUUAAAGAUGGUUCCUUUGCGUCACUUCCUGUGUCUUCCCCUAAUUUUACAUCUACCAAUCACAGUUGAUGCUCUGCUCUAGGACUGCCCAGAAGGCAGACAGCCAAUUCUGAUUUGUCACCCACUAUCACACAUCUGAGUGACAGACCUCCCUCACUCAAGUGUGAAUGGGAUGUUUACACCUUUGUUGAUUAAAUCUAAAAUGAGCAGAUCUUCAUACUCAACUUUAA